RNAcentral lists this unclassified non-coding RNA (542 nucleotides) under Hevea brasiliensis (rubber tree). The record is from RNAcentral. Lineage: Eukaryota; Viridiplantae; Streptophyta; Magnoliopsida; Malpighiales; Euphorbiaceae.
CUGAGAUGAUACUGGUUUAUGAAUUAUUGGAAAAGGGGACUUUGAGAGACCAUCUAUACAAUUGGAAAGACAACUCCAAGAGUUCGUUUAUGCAAUCUGAAUUGUCUUGGAAGCAAAGGCUUGAAAUUUGUGUUGGCACGGCUAAGGGCCUUCAUUACCUUCACACUGUUUCAGAUGGGGGAAUCAUUCACCGAGAUGUAAAAUCAACAAACAUUUUGCUCGAUGAGUAUUAUGUGGCCAAAGUUGCUGAUUUUGGUCUUUCACAGUCGGGUCCUUCUGAUCUAGAUCAUUUCAGCUUGGGAAUAAAAGGUAGUUUUGGUUAUUUUGAUCCUGAAUAUUUCAAAACUUGUCAGUUAACACAUAAAUCCGAUGUGUACUCUUUUGGUGUGGUACUUCUAGAAGUGCUUUGUGCUCGACCACCCAUUAUAAAUUCAUCUCAGAGGGAGGAAAUAAACUUAGCUGAAUGGGGAUUGUUUUGGCAAAAGAAAGGCAAACUCGAAAAAAUUAUUGAUCCUUCACUAGUGGGUCAUAUUAAUCCCCCG